This is a non-coding RNA of Camellia sinensis, 638 nucleotides long. The record is from RefSeq and is a predicted model, not a curated record. Lineage: Eukaryota; Viridiplantae; Streptophyta; Magnoliopsida; Ericales; Theaceae.
GAGGCUAGAGAAAUUUUAAAUUUCUCUGGAGAGGUAAUUUUGUGGGAAGGCCAGUGAAGUCAGAGAAAUUUUCAAAUUUCUCUGGAGUGUUGAGUCUAGGAGGGCAGAGAAAUUUACAGUGGGAGGUUUAGGGAAGGUCAGCUGAGGCUUGAAAACGUUUCUGGAAAGUACUUGGCAGACUGCAACGAAGCUUCAACAUCCAAAUUGGGAUCCAACUGUACCGAAGCUGCAAGGUUGUGGUCUGUCUUGGAGCUCAUGCCCCAAGAAUUUCUCAAAUUUCUCUAAAUUCAACCCAGAGAAAUUUGAAUUUUCUUUGGAUUCAACCCAGAGAAAAUUCAAAUUUCUCUGGGUUCAUUUUGACCGGUUUCUUUCGAGGCAAGCAAGGGGGUCCAACUCUAAAUUGCCUCUUGUUGAUCCAACUCUACCGAAGCUGCAAGGUGAUGUUGAAGCUUCUUUGAGUUGGUGUCCCAGUGUUUUUUGAAUUCAUUGAUCUUCUUUUCAAUUGUUUGGGCUUGAUUUUCUUGGCUGGUUUUGUUUUUUAAUUUCUUCUUCAUUCAUCCGUGAAUUAAUAGUUGUAAAUGCUACCGACACCGCCAAUCUAUAAAUAUAACUAUCCUUUCUUGUUGCAGUACACAAAA